ACGAACGCUGGCGGCAGGCUUAACACAUGCAAGUCGAACGAAGGCUUCGGCCUUAGUGGCGGACGGGUGAGUAACGCGUGGGAAUUUGCCUCAUGGUACGGAAUAACUCCGGGAAACCGGCGCUAAUACCGUAUAAGCCCUACGGGGGAAAGAUUUAUCGCCAUGAGAUGAGCCCGCGUCCGAUUAGCUAGUUGGUAGGGUAAUGGCCUACCAAGGCGAUGAUCGGUAGCUGGUCUGAGAGGAUGAUCAGCCACACUGGGACUGAGACACGGCCCAGACUCCUACGGGAGGCAGCAGUGGGGAAUAUUGGACAAUGGGCGCAAGCCUGAUCCAGCCAUGCCGCGUGAGUGAUGAAGGCCUUAGGGUUGUAAAGCUCUUUCGGCGGGGAAGAUAAUGACGGUACCCGCAGAAGAAGCCCCGGCUAACUCCGU
RNAcentral lists this ribosomal RNA (431 nucleotides) under uncultured bacterium. Its description in RNAcentral is "bacterial SSU rRNA". It matches the Rfam family "Bacterial small subunit ribosomal RNA", at positions 29 to 506 of the family's 1533-position model. The record is from RNAcentral.